Molecule: long non-coding RNA, 444 nt
Organism: Fopius arisanus
Lineage: Eukaryota; Metazoa; Arthropoda; Insecta; Hymenoptera; Braconidae
Exons: 2
Source: RefSeq, a predicted model, not a curated record
CGUGAUCUCGAAGUUGUCGUGGAGUUAAUCGAGAUGUAAGGCUCCUUGAUGGUGGUGAAGGUGAACUGUCCCUGCUCAUUUCCCGAGAGAAUUUCGAAAGACCGAAUGGACGUGGAGUGAUGGACGUUGUACUUCUCUCGAUGGAUUUUAAUGAUUCAAAUACAUCUGUAUGCACUCCAGUAGUUUGCAGACGUCAAAAGCUAACACUAAUUGUCUUGGUCAACUGGAUGACAUAUUUCAGAACAGGAAGGAAAAUUCUAUUGUUUUGUCUUCGGCUUUUCUGGUGUUAUGACACGUGGGCUUCAAUGAAAAUUCGCUCACACGUUUUUUGAUAUUUCACGGAAUAGUGGAGUUAUUUAUAAUAUUUAUAUUUCAGUGGGAAAUAUAAUAUCCUAUUAUUAUUAGAGGAUAUGGAAAUGGAAGAAAUAUAAAAAUCUAUGUGAA